AAGCCCCUUCCAACUCAUGGAUGCAGCGAUUCCCCAGGAAGUGGGUUAGCAGAAGUCAGCAAGGGCAGGGGGGCUUACCCCGGCCUCCAGGUCGAAAGGGCGCCUCCGGGAAUGCAGCUGGGGAGAAAGUCUUCUUCCAACCACACCGAAGUGACACCAGCUACCUGAAACUCAAAGCGAAAGUGGACCAGGGAGCAUUCCUGACCUCGAUGCACCUCAUAGAGUCUGAAUUAAAACACCAAGAUCGCC
This is a long non-coding RNA of Homo sapiens (human), 249 nucleotides long. The record is from Ensembl. Lineage: Eukaryota; Metazoa; Chordata; Mammalia; Primates; Hominidae.